This 509-nucleotide ribosomal RNA is filed under the name uncultured bacterium. Its description in RNAcentral is "bacterial SSU rRNA". It matches the Rfam family "Bacterial small subunit ribosomal RNA", at positions 501 to 1009 of the family's 1533-position model. The record is from RNAcentral.
CUACGUGCCAGCAGCCGCGGUAAUACGUAGGUGGCAAGCGUUGUCCGGAAUUACUGGGCGUAAAGCGCACGCAGGCGGUUUGUUAAGUCAGAUGUGAAAUCCCCGCGCUUAACGUGGGAACUGCAUUUGAAACUGGCAAGCUAGAGUCUUGUAGAGGGGGGUAGAAUUCCAGGUGUAGCGGUGAAAUGCGUAGAGAUCUGGAGGAAUACCGGUGGCGAAGGCGGCCCCCUGGACAAAGACUGACGCUCAGGUGCGAAAGCGUGGGGAGCAAACAGGAUUAGAUACCCUGGUAGUCCACGCUGUAAACGAUGUCGACUUGGAGGUUGUGCCCUUGAGGCGUGGCUUCCGGAGCUAACGCGUUAAGUCGACCGCCUGGGGAGUACGGCCGCAAGGUUAAAACUCAAAUGAAUUGACGGGGGCCCGCACAAGCGGUGGAGCAUGUGGUUUAAUUCGAUGCAACGCGAAGAACCUUACCUACUCUUGACAUCCAGAGAAUUCGCUAGAGAUAG